ACCUGGAUUAAUCACAUAAUAGAAAAUAUUAAAAUCAAUGAAUCACACAUCAACACAAUAUAUUGGUAAAUCACACAACUUUUCCAUGCAACUAUUUGACUUCCACAUAUUAAUGGACAACAUCAACCACCUCAGAAAGUGAAACCACAUAAAGGAAACAUUAACCAGCACCCACCCACCAACCCACCCUUUUCUUUCCAAAUUCCUUUUUCCCACCCCACUAAAUCUCUGACUUCACAUCCCACUUCCACCACAUCUUCAAAAGAAACCCAAUAGACUUUUCAAGAUCUUGAAGCUCAAAAGUCAUAGGUAACACUGAUCAUGUAACAAGGAUCUCCAAUAACUGUUUACAUGAUUGUGUUUAGGUAAUUGUCCAUUGAAAUAUUGAAGAUAAAAGGAAAAACUCAAUCAUGCCGGAAAAAAACAUUUUGAAGCUCAAAGGCUCAAUCUAAGUGUACUGGACUUACCGUGAUACCCUGAUAGGCAAGAGACUGGACUAAGCAUAACGUGGGAACACAAAGAAUCACGGUACUAUGGGUGUCACAGCAGUAUUUACCUCGCUGUAUCAGUGCAUGGGAGUCAUUUUUUAGCAUCUGCAGAACCCACCUGGUUGAGCCUAAUAACUAUGUAUUACUGUAUUGUUUAUAUAUAGGGUAUCUUAGAGUUUUAAGUGAGAAUUUGACAUACAGAAUUACUCAGUUUUAAUCUAUAUCCAUUAUAGUGGAUUAUUCUCUUCUCCUAUGUAGUUUUUCCCUCUUUCCAUGUGAAUCUUUGCAUCUUCUCCAAGCUUCCGUUUGAUUAUUCUCAA
Molecule: long non-coding RNA, 808 nt
Organism: Beta vulgaris subsp. vulgaris (sugar beet)
Lineage: Eukaryota; Viridiplantae; Streptophyta; Magnoliopsida; Caryophyllales; Amaranthaceae
Exons: 2
Source: RefSeq, a predicted model, not a curated record